GUAUAAUUUAUUUCUCACGCAUUAUCCCACCAUCUUUCUUCUUGGUUCCUUGUUGUGUGCUUCUGUCAACAAGCAGAGUGUCUCUUUUUAUUUAAUCAUCACUGUCUCUUCUUGUAUUAAGACCGGACAAUGAUCAUAAGACGGGGGAAAGGAUGACGUGGGAACUCAAAAUGUCAAGAAGAAAUGAAUGAAGGCAAAGCUGUCUUCGUUAUUAGGUCUCUAUCAAAGAGCAAGUUGGGGUUCUAUCCAGCCACAUCAAAUGUUCCAAUUAAUGUACACAUCAUUAGAUUUUAGCCCCACCAUCUAUAUAUCAUGUAUAUGUAUCUUUUUCUGAUAAACUGGGUAUCCGGCGGGGGGAAAGCCCAACUAA
Molecule: long non-coding RNA, 370 nt
Organism: Brassica oleracea var. oleracea
Lineage: Eukaryota; Viridiplantae; Streptophyta; Magnoliopsida; Brassicales; Brassicaceae
Exons: 2
Source: RefSeq, a predicted model, not a curated record